AGGACGAACGCUGGCGGCGUGCUUAACACAUGCAAGUGGAGUGACGAACCAGGGCUUGCCCUGGGGCAGAGCCGCGAACGGGUGAGUAACACGUGGGUUACCUGCCUUGAUGACCGGGACAACCCGAGGAAACUCGGGCUAAUACCGGAUGUGCCCGCAAGGGGAAAGGAAGCUUCGGCCUCCGCAUCAAGAUGGGCCCGCGGCCCAUUAACUUGUUGGUGAGGUAACGGCUCACCAAGGCUUCGAUGGGUAGCUGGUCUGAGAGCACGACCAGUCACACGGGCACUGAGACACGGGCCCGACUCCUACGGGAGGCAGCAGUAAGGAAUAUUGGUCAAUGGACGCAAGUCUGAACCAGCCAUGCCGCGUGAAGGAUGAAGGCCCUCUGGGUUGUAAACUUCUUUAUCUGGGACGAAAAAAGGGUUUUCUAACUCACUUGACGGUACCAGAGGAAUAAGCACCGGCUAACUCCGUGCCAGCAGCCGCGGUAA
RNAcentral lists this ribosomal RNA (491 nucleotides) under uncultured bacterium. RNAcentral describes it as "SSU rRNA". It matches the Rfam family "Bacterial small subunit ribosomal RNA", at positions 26 to 523 of the family's 1533-position model. The record is from RNAcentral.